GAAAAAAAUACAGGAAAAGGAAAAGGGGCGAAAAAAAAAAGAGAAGAAAUUUUGAGACAUUUCAUUUGGAGUGGACAACAGUAUCUUUUUUGUUUCUUGAUCGUUAUGCAGUUCUUUCUCAUCA
This 124-nucleotide non-coding RNA is filed under the name Platyophrya macrostoma. Lineage: Eukaryota; Ciliophora; Colpodea; Cyrtolophosidida; Platyophryidae. The record is from RNAcentral.